Molecule: non-coding RNA, 30 nt
Filed under: Homo sapiens (human)
Lineage: Eukaryota; Metazoa; Chordata; Mammalia; Primates; Hominidae
Source: RNAcentral
UGAAGAAUGCAAUGGGCUCAGCUCAAUGGU